This 74-nucleotide transfer RNA is filed under the name Capsicum annuum. It matches the Rfam family "tRNA". From Rfam's summary of the family: Transfer RNA (tRNA) molecules are approximately 80 nucleotides in length. Their secondary structure includes four short double-helical elements and three loops (D, anti-codon, and T loops). Further hydrogen bonds mediate the characteristic L-shaped molecular structure. tRNAs have two regions of fundamental functional importance: the anti-codon, which is responsible for specific mRNA codon recognition, and the 3' end, to which the tRNAs corresponding amino acid is attached (by aminoacyl-tRNA synthetases). tRNAs cope with the degeneracy of the genetic code in two manners: having more than one tRNA (with a specific anti-codon) for a particular amino acid; and 'wobble' base-pairing, i.e. permitting non-standard base-pairing at the 3rd anti-codon position. Lineage: Eukaryota; Viridiplantae; Streptophyta; Magnoliopsida; Solanales; Solanaceae. The record is from Rfam by way of RNAcentral.
GUGCUCUUAGUUCAGUUCGAAAGAACGUGGGUCUCCAAAAUCCGAUGUCGUAGGUUUAAAUACUACAGAGCAUG